This 53-nucleotide small RNA is filed under the name Asterionellopsis glacialis. RNAcentral's name for it is "partial Mitochondrion-encoded tmRNA". The record is from RNAcentral. Lineage: Eukaryota; Bacillariophyta; Plagiogrammaphyceae; Rhaphoneidales; Asterionellopsidaceae.
UUCUUGGCAUCUUCCAAAAGAAUUUGUUUGGGCAGAUUAUCAAUAUUGACAUU